Molecule: ribosomal RNA, 862 nt
Filed under: uncultured bacterium
Lineage: Bacteria
Description: SSU rRNA
Rfam family: Bacterial small subunit ribosomal RNA
Source: RNAcentral
UACGGAGGGGGCAAGCGUUACUCGGAAUCACUGGGCGUAAAGGGUGCGUAGGCUGACUUUUAAGUCAGGUGUGAAAUCCUACGGCUCAACCAUAUAACUGCACUUGAAACUGGAAGUCUAGAGUUCAGAAGGGGCAGAUGGAAUUAGUGGUGUAGGGGUAAAAUCCGUAGAUAUCACUAGGAAUAUCAAAAGCGAAGGCGAUCUGCUGGGAUGAUACUGACGCUGAGGCACGAAAGCGUGGGGAGCAAACAGGAUUAGAUACCCUGUGUAGUCCACGCCCUAAACGAUGAAUGCUAGUCGUCGGGGAGCUCGACUCUUCGGUGAUGCACUUAACAGAUUAAGCAUUCCGCCUGGGGAGUACGGUCGCAAGAUUAAAACUCAAAGGAAUAGACGGGGACCCGCACAAGUGGUGGAGCAUGUGGUUUAAUUCGAAGAUACACGAAGAACCUUACCUGGCCUUGACAUGAUAGGAACCCUGUAGAGAUACGGGGGUGCUAGCUUGCUAGAACCUACACACAGGUGCUGGACGGCUGUCGUCAGCUCGUGUCGUGAGAUGUUGGGUUAAGUCCCGCAACGAGCGCAACCCUCGUCCUUAGUUGCCAGCAGUUCGGCUGGGCACUCUAAGGAGACUGCCUUCGCAAGGAGGAGGAAGGGGAGGGCGACGUCAAGUCAUCAUGGCCCUUACGGCCAGGGCUACACACGUGCUACAAUGGGGCGUGCAGAGAGCCGCAAUACCGCGAGGAGGAGCCAAUUUCAUAAAGCGCCUCUCAGUUCGGAUUGUUCUGUGCAACUUGAGAGCAUGAAGCGGGGAUCACUAGUAAUCGCAGAUCAGGUAUGCUGCGGUGAAUACGUUCCCGGGUCU